GGACCUGACUGCUAUCGGAUUAAUACUAAGCCAUGCGAGUUUUUGUAGUAAUACAAGGCAUACGGCUCAGUAACACGUAGUCAACCUACCUUAUGGACGAGGAUAAUCUCGGGAAACUGAGCAUAAUACUCGAUAGAUCAUAAUGCCUGGAAUGGUUUAUGGUUGAAAUGAUUCGUCGCCAUAAGAUGGGACUGCGGCCUAUCAGCUUGUUGGUGAGGUAAUGGCCCACCAAGACUAUUACAGGUACGGGCUCUGAGAGGAGUAGCCCGGAGAUGGGUACUGAGACACGGACCCAGGCCCUAUGGGGCGCAGCAGGCGAGAAAACUUUGCAAUGUGCGAAAGCACGACAAGGUUAAUCCGAGUGGUUUCUGCUAAAGAAACCUUUUGUCAGUCCUAGAAACACUGAUGAAUAAGGGGUGGGCAAGUUCUGGUGU
RNAcentral lists this ribosomal RNA (434 nucleotides) under uncultured archaeon. Its description in RNAcentral is "bacterial SSU rRNA". It matches the Rfam family "Archaeal small subunit ribosomal RNA", at positions 19 to 458 of the family's 1478-position model. The record is from RNAcentral.